This 460-nucleotide ribosomal RNA is filed under the name uncultured bacterium. RNAcentral's name for it is "partial 16S ribosomal RNA". It matches the Rfam family "Bacterial small subunit ribosomal RNA", at positions 338 to 795 of the family's 1533-position model. The record is from RNAcentral.
CCUACGGGAGGCAGCAGUGAGGAAUAUUGGUCAAUGGACGAGAGUCUGAACCAGCCAAGUAGCGUGAAGGAUGACUGCCCUAUGGGUUGUAAACUUCUUUUAUAUGGGAAUAAAAUGUUCCACGUGUGGGAUUUUGUAUGUACCAUAUGAAUAAGGAUCGGCUAACUCCGUGCCAGCAGCCGCGGUAAUACGGAGGAUCCGAGCGUUAUCCGGAUUUAUUGGGUUUAAAGGGAGCGUAGGUGGAAUGUUAAGUCAGUUGUGAAAGUUUGCGGCUCAACCGUAAAAUUGCAGUUGAAACUGGCAGUCUUGAGUACAGUAGAGGUGGGCGGAAUUCGUGGUGUAGCGGUGAAAUGCGUAGAUAUCACGAAGAACUCCGAUUGCGAAGGCAGUUCACUGGACUGCAAAUGACACUGAGGCUCGAAAGUGUGGGUAUCAAACAGGAUUAGAUACCCUAGUAGUC